Molecule: non-coding RNA, 163 nt
Organism: Vibrio ponticus
Lineage: Bacteria; Pseudomonadati; Pseudomonadota; Gammaproteobacteria; Vibrionales; Vibrionaceae
Source: Rfam
CCGUGGUCAGGCGCCAAAGCGCAUGGUCUCAGUAUCAGUAAUCGUAUUGUUGAUACAUCUAUUGCUCGGCUGACCCUCGCUGAGUCGUAGAACCUCUUCUACACGUCGACAAGAGUUAUUCUUGUAUUUGCCAGAUAUUGUGAGAUGUCUGGCUUUUUUUAUU